Molecule: ribosomal RNA, 253 nt
Filed under: uncultured bacterium
Lineage: Bacteria
Description: partial 16S ribosomal RNA
Rfam family: Bacterial small subunit ribosomal RNA
Source: RNAcentral
UACGUAGGGGGCGAGCGUUGUCCGGAUUUAUUGGGCGUAAAGAGCGUGUAGGCGGCCAGGUAGGUCUGCUGUGAAGACUCGAGGCUCAACCUCGAGACGUCGGCGGAAACCAUCUGGCUAGAGUCCGGAAGAGGAGAGUGGAAUUCCUGGUGUAGCGGUGAAAUGCGCAGAUAUCAGGAAGAACAUCGGUGGCGAAGGCGCUCUGCUGGACCAUAACUGACACUCAGGGACGAAAGCUAGGGGAGCGAAUGGG